GAGAGGUUCGAAGGCGAUCAGAUACCGCCCUAGUUCUGACCGUAAACGAUGCCACCUGACGAUCCGCCAGGGUUACUACCAUGACUCGGCGGGCAGUCCCCGGGAAACCCAAGCCUUCGGGUUCCGGGGGAAGUAUGGUUGCAAAGCUGAAACUUAAAGGAAUUGACGGAAGGGCACCACCAGGAGUGGAGCCUGCGGCUUAAUUUGACUCAACACGGGGAACCUCACCCGGCCCGGACACCGCGAGGAUUGACAGAUUGAGAGCUCUUUCUCGAUUCGGUGGGUGGUGGUGCAUGGCCGUUCUUAGUUGGUGGAGCGAUUUGUCUGGUUAAUUCCGAUAACGAACGAGACUCUAGCCGGUUAAGUAGCCCGAGCGGUUUUUGAUCUUUGCCGUUCAUCCCCGUUCGACCUUU
RNAcentral lists this ribosomal RNA (413 nucleotides) under Peripatopsis capensis. RNAcentral's name for it is "SSU rRNA". It matches the Rfam family "Eukaryotic small subunit ribosomal RNA", at positions 991 to 1403 of the family's 1831-position model. The record is from RNAcentral. Lineage: Eukaryota; Metazoa; Onychophora; Udeonychophora; Euonychophora; Peripatopsidae.